UACAGAGGGUGCGAGCGUUAAUCGGAAUUAUUGGGCGUAAAGCGCGCGUAGGCGGCUACUUAAGUCGGAUGUGAAAGCCCUUGGCUCAACUGAGGAAGUGCACCCGAAACUGAGUGGCUUGAGUACGAAAGAGGGUCGCGGAAUUCCCGGUGUAGAGGUGAAAUUCGUAGAUAUCGGGAGGAACACCGGUGGCGAAGGCGGCGACCUGGGUCGAUACUGACGCUGAUGCGCGAAAGCGUGGGGAGCAAACAGG
Molecule: ribosomal RNA, 253 nt
Filed under: uncultured bacterium
Lineage: Bacteria
Description: partial 16S ribosomal RNA
Rfam family: Bacterial small subunit ribosomal RNA
Source: RNAcentral